This 557-nucleotide small RNA is filed under the name Pan troglodytes (chimpanzee). RNAcentral's name for it is "retained intron". The record is from RNAcentral. Lineage: Eukaryota; Metazoa; Chordata; Mammalia; Primates; Hominidae.
CAGAACCAGGCAAGGAGGGGCCAACUGCAGGUGAGGGGUUUGAUAAAGUCAGGGAAGCAGAAGAUAGCCCCCAACACAUGUGACUGGGGGGAUGGUCAACAAGAAAGGAAUGGUGAGUGGUGGUGGCUGUGCUCUCAAUUUUCCCUGUCUCCGUACAGGCUCUGUGGGAGGAUCAGGGCUGGGAACUCUAGCCCUGGCCCUGGGGAUCCUGGGAGGCCUGGGGACAGCCACCCUGGUCAUUGGGGUCAUCUUGUGGCAAAGGCGGCAACGCCAAGGAGAGGAGAGGAAGGCCCCAGAAAACCAGGAGGAAGAGGAGGAGCGUGCAGAACUGAAUCAGUCGGAGGAACCUGAGGCAGGCGAGAGUAGUACUGGAGGGCCUUGAGGGGCCCACAGACAGAUCCUAUCCAUCAGCUCCCUUUUCUUUUUCCCUUGAAUUGUUCUGGCCUCAGACCAACUCUCUCCUGUAUAAUCUCUCUCCUGUAUAACCCCACCUUGCCAAGCUUUCUUCUACAACCAGAGCCCCCCACAAUGAUGAUUAAACACCUGACACAUCUUGC